CCAGCUGCGUGAAUUAAUGUGAAUUGCAGAACACAUUGAACAUCGACACCUUGAACGCACAUGGCGGCCUCGGGUAUACCCCGGGGCCACGCCCGUCUGAGGGUCGGUUGGCUAAAGCGAUCGCUACAUGUCCGUUUCGUUUCUUUCCUAACCUGCGGCGGCUCCUCUUGGAUGCACUGCGGGUAGGGGAGGGAACAGGUAGCGCAUUGGGCCGUCGCGGAUAGCGAUGACGACGCCAGCUCUCGGCGUUUCGUCGCACGUCCUCGUGGCUUUAAGUACAGGAUGCGCCGUCGUCCUCUCUGUCCUUCGAAAGACUCAUGCUCGCCUCGUCGGUAGUCUCUCGCUGCGUGACAGGUACCCCGGCUCGUGUUUUAUUACGCUUGUCGUACGGACCCAUCAUGCUGGAAACGUUCGGGAGAUAGGCCGCAUAGCAGAGUGCAUCGUUGUGACUAACGGCGCCCGCCUACCAUAUCGGGGGCGUUAAACAGACAACCGUCAAAACCCCGCGUGGGUUUUUUUAUAUUUCCGACCUCAGAUCGGACGAGAUUACCCGCUGAAUUUAAGCAUAUUACUAAGCGGAGGAAAAGAAACUAACAAGGAUUUCCCUAGUAACGG
This 615-nucleotide ribosomal RNA is filed under the name Uncancylus sp. UMMZ300231. RNAcentral describes it as "eukaryotic LSU rRNA". The stretch from base 527 to 615 matches the Rfam family "Eukaryotic large subunit ribosomal RNA", at positions 1 to 89 of the family's 3401-position model. Lineage: Eukaryota; Metazoa; Mollusca; Gastropoda; Ancylidae. The record is from RNAcentral.